UAGAGUUUGAUCCUGGCUCAGAACGAACGCUGGCGGCGUGGAUAAGACAUGCAAGUCGGACGAGACUUCGUUUGAUAGCAAUAUUGAGCGAAGUUUAGUGGCGAACGGGUGCGUAACACGUGGGCAACCUGCCAAGAAGUGGGGGAUAGCUCGCCGAAAGGCGAAUUAAUACCGCAUGUGAUGAGAGGAGACAUCUUUUCAAAAUUAAAGUCGGGGCAACCUGACGCUUCUUGAGGGGCCCGCGGCCUAUCAGCUAGUUGGUGAGGUAACGGCCCACCAAGGCUUUGACGGGUAGCUGGUCUGAGAGGACGACCAGCCACACUGGGACUGAGACACGGCCCAGACACCUACGGGUGGCAGCAGUCGAGAAUUUUUCUCAAUGGGGGAAACCCUGAAGGAGCGACGCCGCGUGGAGGAUGAAGGUCUUCGGAUUGUAAACUCCUGUCAUUGGGGACAAUGCGUAAAUAUUAACUGUAUUUGCGUUGAUAGUACCCGAAGAGGAAGAGACGGCUAACUCUGUGCCACCGGCCGCGGUAAUACGGAGGUCUCAAGCGUUUUUCCGGAUUCUUUGGGCGUAAAGGGGGCUUAGGGCGCCCCGGUAAAUCCGGGUUUAAAUUCUCGGACCUUACCUCCGAAACCUGCUUUGGAAUCUGCCGUGCCUUGAGGACCGACAAAGAAAAUGAAAUUUUCGGGUUGCCGGGAAAUUGCCGAAAAUUUGCAAAGAAAAAACGUGGCGCAAGGGCGGUCUUCGGGAAGUUGCCUAGCCUCGAGGACCAAAGGGCUGGAGGACCCACGCGGGAUGAAACCCCCGGGUCGCCUGAAGAAGAAACGAGCGCGUUUUGGAGGUGGCAGAUCGCNCCGCAUUUCCC
RNAcentral lists this ribosomal RNA (869 nucleotides) under uncultured Verrucomicrobiota bacterium. RNAcentral describes it as "bacterial SSU rRNA". It matches the Rfam family "Bacterial small subunit ribosomal RNA", at positions 1 to 848 of the family's 1533-position model. Lineage: Bacteria; Pseudomonadati; Verrucomicrobiota. The record is from RNAcentral.